RNAcentral lists this unclassified non-coding RNA (241 nucleotides) under air metagenome. Its description in RNAcentral is "partial contains small subunit ribosomal RNA, internal transcribed spacer 1, and 5.8S ribosomal RNA". The stretch from base 1 to 46 matches the Rfam family "Eukaryotic small subunit ribosomal RNA", at positions 1786 to 1831 of the family's 1831-position model. The record is from RNAcentral.
AAGUCGUAACAAGGUCUCCGUUGGUGAACCAGCGGAGGGAUCAUUACAGAGUUAUCUAACUCCCAAACCCAUGUGAACUUACCUUUGUUGCCUCGGCAGAACCUACCCUGUAGCGAGCUACCCUGUAGCAACCUACCCUGUAGCGCCUGCCGGUGGACUACUAAACUCUUGUUAUUUUUAAGUAAUCUGAGCGUCUUAUUUUAAUAAGUCAAAACUUUCAACAACGGAUCUCUUGGUUCUG